GACGAACUCUGGCGGCGCGCCUAACACAUGCAAGUCGAACGAGCGAGAGAGAGCUUGCUUUCUCGAGCGAGUGGCGAACGGGUGAGUAACGCGUGAGGAACCUGCCUCAAAGAGGGGGACAACAGUUGGAAACGACUGCUAAUACCGCAUAAGCCCACGGGUCGGCAUCGACCAGAGGGAAAAGGAGCAAUCCGCUUUGAGAUGGCCUCGCGUCCGAUUAGCUAGUUGGUGAGGUAAUGGCCCACCAAGGCAACGAUCGGUAGCCGGACUGAGAGGUUGAACGGCCACAUUGGGACUGAGACACGGCCCAGACUCCUACGGGAGGCAGCAGUGGGGAAUAUUGCACAAUGGGGGAAACCCUGAUGCAGCGACGCCGCGUGGAGGAAGAAGGUCUUCGGAUUGUAAACUCCUGUUGUUGGGGAAGAUAAUGGCGGUACCCAACAAGGAAGUGACGGCUAACUACGUGCCAGCAGCCGCGGUAAAACGUAGGUCACAAGCGUUGUCCGGAAUUACUGGGUGUAAAGGGAGCGCAGGCGGGAAGACAAGUUGGAAGUGAAAUCUAUGGGCUCAACCCAUAAACUGCUUUCAAAACUGUUUUUCUUGAGUAGUGCAGAGGUAGGCGGAAUUCCCGGUGUAGCGGUGGAAUGCGUAGAUAUCGGGAGGAACACCAGUGGCGAAGGCGGCCUACUGGGCACCAACUGACGCUGAGGCUCGAAAGUGUGGGUAGCAAACAGGAUUAGAUACCCUGGUAGUCCACACCGUAAACGAUGAUUACUAGGUGUUGGAGGAUUGACCCCUUCAGUGCCGCAGUUAACACAAUAAGUAAUCCACCUGGGGAGUACGACCGCAAGGUUGAAACUCAAAGGAAUUGACGGGGGCCCGCACAAGCAGUGGAGUAUGUGGUUUAAUUCGACGCAACGCGAAGAACCUUACCAAGUCUUGACAUCCCUUGACAGACAUAGAAAUAUGUAAUCUCUUCGGAGCAAGGAGACAGGUGGUGCAUGGUUGUCGUCAGCUCGUGUCGUGAGAUGUUGGGUUAAGUCCCGCAACGAGCGCAACCCUUAUGGUCAGUUACUACGCAAGAGGACUCUGGCCAGACUGCCGUUGACAAAACGGAGGAAGGUGGGGAUGACGUCAAAUCAUCAUGCCCUUUAUGACUUGGGCUACACACGUACUACAAUGGCGUUAAACAAAGAGAAGCAAGACCGCGAGGUGGAGCAAAACUCAGAAACAACGUCCCAGUUCGGACUGCAGGCUGCAACUCGCCUGCACGAAGUCGGAAUUGCUAGUAAUCGUGGAUCAGCAUGCCACGGUGAAUACGUUCCCGGGCCUUGCACU
Molecule: ribosomal RNA, 1338 nt
Filed under: uncultured bacterium
Lineage: Bacteria
Description: bacterial SSU rRNA
Rfam family: Bacterial small subunit ribosomal RNA
Source: RNAcentral